UGCCAGCCAGAGAUGCCAAACAA
Molecule: non-coding RNA, 23 nt
Filed under: Mus musculus (house mouse)
Lineage: Eukaryota; Metazoa; Chordata; Mammalia; Rodentia; Muridae
Source: RNAcentral